This is a long non-coding RNA of Poecilia latipinna (sailfin molly), 844 nucleotides long. RefSeq lists it as uncharacterized. Lineage: Eukaryota; Metazoa; Chordata; Actinopteri; Cyprinodontiformes; Poeciliidae. The record is from RefSeq and is a predicted model, not a curated record. The transcript is spliced from 5 exons.
GGAAGCUGGUUGGAGUUGAUGGGAAGAAGGAUGGAGCUAAAUACUGGGCUAUCCGGAAGGAAAACCUUUUAGGGACUCUGGAAGAAAACUUGAGAUCCAGAUGUUGGACUCUCGCUGCAGAUGUGCUUCCAUGCAGGCCAAGAAAUCCUAACUAGAGUUGUGCACACACGUGAAACUGAGCUUGGACAAUUGACAUGAACUCAUAACUUGGAAAAAAGAAAGGCACAUUCACCGACCUACGGCUGCAUCUGGCCUUUGAUGACCUACUCGUGAUGCUGCUGUGAGUGGAGUGACCCGACUGUACUCAUUAAAACCAAUGGGACGGAUCAUUCUCCACUAAUUGUUUUCCACUGACAAAUGGUUCCUCCGACUCUCAGACUGCUGCAGGGGCCGCCGUGCAGCUCCAACACGCCAACUUUACUAAUGAGAACUGCCGAUAAGGGACGCCCCUCUGCACCCUCACACCCCCUCCCCGUCCACACUACCUGGCACUAAUCCAUCAGAGGGGCAGUCAGGCUGUGCGCCGCCCCACAACCACCCAUCCCUGAUACCCGCCAGUGCCCAGUGCUUCAGCAGAGGCCCCAGCUGGGGGACCGCCACAGCUUGGUCAUUAUCAGAUGACGGAUAGCUUCAUAUCAGAUUCAUGAGAAUUUUUCUCUCUAAAUCACUUGGGAGAAUCUCAGAAAACCGAUGUCACCUUGGAUGAGACUCUCAAGAAAGAAUCUGCUCCCUGGUGCACCCUCAGUUUUUUUUUUUUUUCUUGAUAAUGAGUUUUCUGACCAAUUCAAUGUCCUGAGGAAUUUACCCUUCCAAGAAUGCUCUCAAGUAAAGGUCUUCAAUUCCA